RNAcentral lists this transfer RNA (61 nucleotides) under bovine gut metagenome. It matches the Rfam family "tRNA", at positions 6 to 65 of the family's 71-position model. Rfam says of the family: Transfer RNA (tRNA) molecules are approximately 80 nucleotides in length. Their secondary structure includes four short double-helical elements and three loops (D, anti-codon, and T loops). Further hydrogen bonds mediate the characteristic L-shaped molecular structure. tRNAs have two regions of fundamental functional importance: the anti-codon, which is responsible for specific mRNA codon recognition, and the 3' end, to which the tRNAs corresponding amino acid is attached (by aminoacyl-tRNA synthetases). tRNAs cope with the degeneracy of the genetic code in two manners: having more than one tRNA (with a specific anti-codon) for a particular amino acid; and 'wobble' base-pairing, i.e. permitting non-standard base-pairing at the 3rd anti-codon position. The record is from RNAcentral.
GAUAGCUCAAUGGUAGAGCAUUCGGCUGUUAACCGAAGGGUUGCUGGUUCGAGUCCAGCUC